ACGGGUGAGUAAUAUAUCGGAACGUACCCUGGAGUGGGGGAUAACGUAGCGAAAGUUACGCUAAUACCGCAUACGAUCUAAGGAUGAAAGUGGGGGAUUCGCAAGAACCUCAUGCUCCUGGAGCGGCCGAUAUCUGAUUAGCUAGUUGGUAGGGUAAAAGCCUACCAAGGCAUCGAUCAGUAGCUGGUCUGAGAGGACGACCAGCCACACUGGAACUGAGACACGGUCCAGACUCCUACGGGAGGCAGCAGUGGGGAAUUUUGGACAAUGGGCGCAAGCCUGAUCCAGCAAUGCUGCGUGAGUGAAGAAGGCCUUCGGGUUGUAAAGCUCUUUUGUCAGGGAAGAAACGGAUUUUUCUAAUACAGAGAUCUAAUGACGGUACCUGAAGAAUAAGCACCGGCUAACUACGUGCCAGCAGCCGCGGUAAUACGUAGGGUGCAAGCGUUAAUCGGAAUUACUGGGCGUAAAGCGUGCGCAGGCGGUUUUGUAAGACUGUCGUGAAAUCCCCGGGCUCAACCUGGGAAUGGCGAUGGUGACUGCAAGGCUAGAGUUUGGCAGAGGGGGGUAGAAUUCCACGUGUAGCAGU
This 586-nucleotide ribosomal RNA is filed under the name uncultured Duganella sp. Its description in RNAcentral is "bacterial SSU rRNA". It matches the Rfam family "Bacterial small subunit ribosomal RNA", at positions 102 to 682 of the family's 1533-position model. Lineage: Bacteria; Pseudomonadati; Pseudomonadota; Betaproteobacteria; Burkholderiales; Oxalobacteraceae. The record is from RNAcentral.